This 56-nucleotide transfer RNA is filed under the name Eutreptiella gymnastica. The record is from RNAcentral. Lineage: Eukaryota; Euglenozoa; Euglenophyceae; Eutreptiales; Eutreptiaceae.
GUCCAGUGGUAAAGCAUGCGAGUCGUGAUUAGGGGGCGUCGGUUCGAGUCCUGGUC